This 596-nucleotide ribosomal RNA is filed under the name Misgurnus anguillicaudatus (oriental weatherfish). RNAcentral's name for it is "partial large subunit ribosomal RNA". It matches the Rfam family "Bacterial large subunit ribosomal RNA", at positions 1814 to 2611 of the family's 2925-position model. Lineage: Eukaryota; Metazoa; Chordata; Actinopteri; Cypriniformes; Cobitidae. The record is from RNAcentral.
CAUCGCCUCCUGCAAAACUCAAAGCAUAGGAGGUCCAGCCUGCCCAGUGACCAUAAGUUCAACGGCCGCGGUAUUUUGACCGUGCAAAGGUAGCGCAAUCACUUGUCUUUUAAAUGAAGACCUGUAUGAAUGGCUAAACGAGGGCUUAACUGUCUCCCCUUCCGAGUCAGUGAAAUUGAUCUGCCCGUGCAGAAGCGGACAUAAAGAUACAAGACGAGAAGACCCUUUGGAGCUUAAGGUUCAAGCCCAACCGCGUCAAACAACUUUCUUAAUAAGAACUAAACUUUAGCGGAUAAUGGAGCUUUACCUUCGGUUGGGGCGACCACGGAGAAAAAUAAAUCCUCCGAGUGGAUUGGGAUAAUAAACCUAAAACUAAGAAAGACAUUUCUAAGGCACAGAAAAUCUGACCAACAAUGAUCCGGCCAACCAGCCGAUCAACGAACCAAGUUACCCUAGGGAUAACAGCGCAAUCCUCUCCCAGAGUCCAUAUCGACGAGGGGGUUUACGACCUCGAUGUUGGAUCAGGACAUCCUAAUGGUGCAGCCGCUAUUAAGGGUUCGUUUGUUCAACGAUUAAAGUCCUACAUGAUCUGAGUU